RNAcentral lists this transfer RNA (81 nucleotides) under Hypholoma sublateritium FD-334 SS-4. RNAcentral's name for it is "tRNA-Glu". It matches the Rfam family "tRNA". From Rfam's summary of the family: Transfer RNA (tRNA) molecules are approximately 80 nucleotides in length. Their secondary structure includes four short double-helical elements and three loops (D, anti-codon, and T loops). The record is from RNAcentral. Lineage: Eukaryota; Fungi; Basidiomycota; Agaricomycetes; Agaricales; Strophariaceae.
UCGGGUAUGGUGUAACGGCUAACAUUGCCGCCUCUCAUCGAGUGAUCGCGGCAGCUCGGGGUUCGAUUCCCCGUACCCGAA